This 700-nucleotide ribosomal RNA is filed under the name Vibrio vulnificus. RNAcentral's name for it is "bacterial SSU rRNA". It matches the Rfam family "Bacterial small subunit ribosomal RNA", at positions 491 to 1190 of the family's 1533-position model. Lineage: Bacteria; Pseudomonadati; Pseudomonadota; Gammaproteobacteria; Vibrionales; Vibrionaceae. The record is from RNAcentral.
CACCGGCUAACUCCGUGCCAGCAGCCGCGGUAAUACGGAGGGUGCGAGCGUUAAUCGGAAUUACUGGGCGUAAAGCGCAUGCAGGUGGUUUGUUAAGUCAGAUGUGAAAGCCCGGGGCUCAACCUUGGAAUUGCAUUUGAAACUGGCAGACUAGAGUACUGUAGAGGGGGGUAGAAUUUCAGGUGUAGCGGUGAAAUGCGUAGAGAUCUGAAGGAAUACCGGUGGCGAAGGCGGCCCCCUGGACAGAUACUGACACUCAGAUGCGAAAGCGUGGGGAGCAAACAGGAUUAGAUACCCUGGUAGUCCACGCCGUAAACGAUGUCUACUUGGAGGUUGUGGCCUUGAGCCGUGGCUUUCGGAGCUAACGCGUUAAGUAGACCGCCUGGGGAGUACGGUCGCAAGAUUAAAACUCAAAUGAAUUGACGGGGGCCCGCACAAGCGGUGGAGCAUGUGGUUUAAUUCGAUGCAACGCGAAGAACCUUACCUACUCUUGACAUCCAGAGAACUUUCCAGAGAUGGAUUGGUGCCUUCGGGAACUUUGAGACAGGUGCUGCAUGGCUGUCGUCAGCUCGUGUUGUGAAAUGUUGGGUUAAGUCCCGCAACGAGCGCAACCCUUAUCCUUGUUUGCCAGCGAGUAAUGUCGGGAACUCCAGGGAGACUGCCGGUGAUAAACCGGAGGAAGGUGGGGACGACGUCAAGU